Marmota monax (woodchuck) is the source of this 7566-nucleotide long non-coding RNA. RefSeq lists it as uncharacterized. Lineage: Eukaryota; Metazoa; Chordata; Mammalia; Rodentia; Sciuridae. The transcript has 2 exons. The record is from RefSeq and is a predicted model, not a curated record.
AAGGGUGCUUAACCACUGAGCAACAUCCCCAGUUCUUUUGUAUAUUUUAUUUAGAGACAGGGGUCACUAAGUGGCUUAGGUCCUCACUAAGUUGCUGAGGCUGGCUUGGAACUCGCAAUCCUCCUGCCUCAGCCUCUGAAGCUGCUGGGAUCACCAGCGUGUGCCACCACACCUGGCUUUCAUGAAUUUUCUUAAUCCACUUGUCCAUUUUGUAAAAGUUAGUUUAAAUUCAUUCAUAAUGUAACAUUUGGGCAUAAUUCUUGUACUUGGGAUACAUUGAAGAUAGAAUCAGAGAAUUCAAUCACUCUAUCCCUCAGACACGGUCCUGUGUGAGUUUCAAGACACUGAGAGUAAGUGUUGGGACACAGAGCCUGAGGGUGGUGACCCCAGAUCUUCCUCAGGAGCCCUUAGGACCAUGGGGCCAGCUGAGGGACAGUUUGCCUGUGGACAAUUUUUACAGUGCACAUAGUAAACAGUGACAAAACACAAUUUGUUUUGUUUCUUUGGAUUAAAAAAUGUGAACAGAACAGAUUUUCAUGUUAAUCUCAAUUUCCCAUUUAUAUCAUAGCCUUCUUAAGCAGAAGGAAUUGCCUUAGCCAUUGCUUACCUCCUGGUGAUCCCAAUACAGUUUCAUUGUUGUGCAUGGUAGAAAUUAAACAUUUCAUUCCAAAACCUGCAGGCACGUGUGUUUUAACACAAUCAACAGGAGUGUGAUAUGUGUGUUUUAAAAAGCUUCGCCCAGCAUCACCUGUGAGUGCAGAUCAGGAUGUGCGGGAUGCAGACACUUAUUUGUCCUCUAACAUGUCACCAUGUACUAGAAGUCAUGGCUUCUGUGCUGUCAGGAUCUCCAUCUCUGAUUCCUCCUCUCACUGGAUGGGCAACAGAGGAAGGCCCAGGUCUGGCAGGUUCCAGUGCUCUGCAGCCAUGGAGCAUAAGGGCGCCCAUAUGUCCCAGGAUCUGGGCUGGACUCCUCGUGUCUGGGGGAAGGAAAGCCCAGCAGGCCAGCUUCUUUCCCACCCUGGAGCUGGCGAGAGGCUUUGUGGCAGUGUUUGUACAACAUCUGGUUGUGUGACAGGUGUGGAAACCAGGUGUGAUUUACUAGCUUCUGAGCCUCCUCACACCAGGAGAGCCCUUCUUGUCAGAUGGGAAGAGACAGAUAGGAGAUGCAGCCCGGGGCUUUCCCUCCCAGACCCUGCUCUGCACAUCUGUGCUGGAGUUGGCCUCACCCAACAAGUGAUGCUUCUGUGCUUCUGUUGUAUGGUGGCUAUCAGGAAUGUUCUAUAUAAAUGUGUGAGCCAGAUUCAAAUCAGCGGUCUAGCAACUGGAUUUUAUGGGAUGAAAUACAUAAAAACUACAUAUAAACAAGAGUCCUCUAUUGAGCUUAUUACAUCAAAAUUACUUUGCUUGAAACUUAAGCAUCUAAGCAAACCCCAUUGAUUUCAACUGUGUAGGAACACACAGCACUCUGAAAAUGCUUGGCACAUCAGUGACAAUUAGCUUAGACUUUGAUUCUUUGACAGUUAUGUAACUUAAUAGCAUAAUUACUUCUUACUUUCCAGCUGGUGAAAAUGGGUGAAUGGGGCAGUGUCAGUGUUGGAGAAGAAAAUUCUUAGUCUUUUUAGCCAAGUUUUGCAGGCUCUCUGCUCUCUCUAUGCAGUGUGUUUACUUGAUUUUUGGUUGUGUACAUCAGACUGGGCUACAGUCAUGAAUAUAGAAAUGAUGUAGACUGAAGAAGGUAAUGUGGAGGGCUGCAGGUGGAUCUGUACACAGAGACUGCUCAUAGACUCAUCAGAUUCAGAGCUGGACCCACCUGAGGGAUCCCCAGACCUAGUGCUCUCAAAUGGGACCCCCAAGGGGCAAAAUCCAAGACUUUGCUGAAGAUCCAGAAGGAUUCAGACACCAAAAGCAAAACAUGUGCCAGGUAAGUGUCUUAUCAGCUUUCUUCAUGGCUGCAACUAAAAGACCCAACCAGCACAAUUGUGGAAGAGGAAGAGUUUCUUUGGGGGUUCACAGUUUCAGAGGUCUCAGUCCAUAGACAGCAGAUUCUAUUCCUCGGGACUCAAGAUGAGGCAGGACAUCAUGGCAACAGAAUGGGACAGAGUAAAGCAGCUCAGAUAAUGAUCAGUAAGCAGAGACACUCCAUUCAACAGAUAAAAAGUAAACCAUACCUCUAGGGACCUGCCUUCUCCAGCCACACCUGCCUUCAGCUACCACUAUGUCAAUCCCUAUCAGGAGAUUAAUCCACUGAUUGGAUUAAGGUUCUUAUAAUCCAAUCAUUUCUCCCCUAAACCUUGCAUUGUCUCACACAUAUGCUUUUGGGGGACACCACAUCUAAACCAUAACAGUAAGGACCCACAGAGUUCUUUCAUGCUAAAAGCAAACCCCCACCCACUUCUGAGUAGGUAUCCUAAUGCAAGGUCUCCUACAUUCACAGAUGCACUAUGUGCAUAGCCAAGAGCAGGGAGCAGCCCGAUGUCCAUUGACAGAUGGGGUAAACAAAGGAAAUCCUGCCACAGGCUGCGGCAUGGGUGAGCCACGAAGAUGUGGAGGUAAUUGAGAGAAGCCAGUCACUAAGGGACAAAUACUGUAUAAUUCCCCUUAUGAGACAUAUACAGUGGCCACAUCAUAGAUUAAGAAGUAGGGCAGUGGCUACCGAGGGCUGGGCAAGGGUGGGGAGUUAGCAUUUCAUAUAUCCAGAGUUCCAGAUUCACAAGACAUAGAAGUUUUGGUGCUCAGUUUCAUAACCAUGUCAAUAGACCUGGUACUAUGGAAGUGUACACUUUAAAAGUGUUUAAGAUGAUAAGUUUUAUUAUAUAUUUUUAUUACUUUAAAAUAAUUUUAAAUUAUUUAAAAAUAAUUUUAAAAGACAACAAAGAAGCACUGGGCUGCUAUUGUAAAUGGCUCCUAAAAGAGCUAAAGAGCAUUCAUGUAUGACCAACAAUUCUACCUCUAGGUUUUACCCAAGAGAAAUGAAAAUAAGUGUUCAAAACAAAUGUGUUCUUGAAUGUUUAUCAUCUUACUAUUGACAAUAGCAAGAAAAUGGAAACAAGCCACACAUCCAUCAACUGAUGAAUGGGUAAACAAACGGUCUAUCCAUGCAGUGGAAUAUUAUUCAGCCAUAAAAAGGAACAAAGUGCUGAUUGCUGUCACAGCCUCAGAUGGACCUUGAAAAACAUUAGGCUAAGUAAGAGAAGGUAGACCCAACUGCUCACAGGUUAAUUGAUUCGACUUAUGUUAAAUGUCCAGAAGAAGCAAAUCUAUAAAAACAGAAAGCAGAUCAGUAGUUGCCAGUUGCUGGUUAUUGCCUGUGUAUGGCUCCUUCUGAGAGCAGAGAAAGUGUCCAGGAUCAGAUAGUGAUGACCAGUCACUAUCUAAUAGUGAAUGCAAAAUUUAAGAUGGUUAAAAUGGUGAAUUCCAUGUCCUAUGAAUGUUUCUUCCCCAAACAAAAGGCUUUAUGUAUAAAGAGUCUUUGGUCUAGCCCAAGUUUUUUAGCUGGGAAAGUGGAAGCUCACUUCUGGGGGACAUGGCUUUCUGGGGGCCAUGGCCACAGUCCCCAAGACACCAGGGCACUCCUGGGGGAGGUGGGAAGCAAGGCAUCCUCGUGCAGCAAGAGCGGAUGCUCAGGUAGUGUGGGCAUGCCAGGUUCUGUGAAGAAGGCCCAGCAUGGCAUUGGCUGCAGCAGAGGUGGGGUCCCUGGGGCUCCUCCCAGAGUUCCUUCCCAGCUACAGGGGGCCCACCACAGCCAGUCCAGGCUCACACCCAGACAAGUGGGAUCCAAAAGACAAAACAGGCAUCUCUUGCAUCUCUAUUUGGGAGCAAGACAAGUUUUGUUGGAAGCUCCCUGGCAAAGCCAUCGGCCAUGAUUGGGUCACGUGACUCCCUAAGUCCAACGAGGCUGACAGGCUUAGGCCCACGGUGUGCAGUGGAGAGCAUGGGGGAUAGUUAGACUUAAAGACCAGUUCCACAGGCCAGGCAUCAGGCAGAGGCCAGGCCAGGAACGUCAUGUGGACCUAUGGGAUGAGCAGGAGCUCCAGAUAAGCAGACAAUGAAUGAAGUCCAGGGAAGGCAGCUGAGCCAUGCAUCAUAGCCUAGAAAAAGAAUGUGGUAACAGGGUUCCAGACCAGGGCUCAGGAUCCUACCCUGUGUGGCUGGCAGCAGGAGGUCAGCAUCCCAGCCCGGGCUCUGAGAAAAACUGGCUUCCAGCAAAAACUGGAGAAAGAUUCCCUUCCCAGUGUCCCCAGUAGAGCCCUGAAGAAAGUCAAACCUGUCCCCAGAAUGCACACACUUGAACUCAGAGGUCGACACAGCAGUGCCCAGGCACACAGAGUGGAAAACCGGGGCUUCUGAGGAAAGCCAAAUCAUUUUAAAGUUCAGUCCCUGCAUGCACCAUUGGCACAGAAUAGAGAUGCCUGGAUGCGUUCCUAUAAUCCUCUGUCCCCCACUGUCCAGUAGACAGGCAUGGGACAGAGAGGUCAGGUCACUAAUUUCUCAGCAGCAUCUGUUACCUAUUUCCAAGGGUGCACACAUCCACGUGGCCCACUCCGCGGUCCUUGACCAUUCACUUGUCCCCUGGCCCCUGUACACACCUGCUAUCCACUAGGCACUCGUCUACACAGUGGGGACAUGUUUGUGGACAAAAUAAAAUCCAUCCCUCUUUUCCCAGACCUUAAAGUCCAGUGGGGGUGAUAUGCAUACAGAUGAUCAAAUUUGUGCCAUGGCAAGUGAAGUUAUCGGUGCUGCAAAGAAACCAGAGCAGGCAGAGGGCACUGGGUGCUUCAACUCCUAAGAGAACUGCACGGGAAGACGGCCUGAUGGAGUGCUCUUAACCACCAUGAUGACAGCCAAGGCCUGUGCAGAACGCAUGUGGGAAGAGAGAAAUGAAGACCGAUGCUGAGCACAUGUCCCAGAUGUGGUGGGGCAGGAAGUGUCUGUGGGCCCAGGAUCCAGCGGGAGUUCUCCGAGCCAUGCUCUUGCUGCAUGCCAGGAUGACAGCGUGCUUCCACCCUGCUGUUGACUUGGACACCACAAAGAUGAGUUUUGUGCUAACAGAAAGCCAGAAUGCAAUCUUAUGGGUAUGGCUUUAAGACUGAUGGUAGGUCGGAGACUAAGGAUUUUGCCAAUAACACACAGUCACAUCAGAGUUGUUUGGUGCUCUGGUCCGAGUAUAGUUGGCUGCUGCCUCCCUGGUAUUCUACAAAACAGAUCCCCAAGUGGAAAACCACAGAGCACCAGAGAAAGAGCACCAUCUUCAGUGUGCCAAGAAUUUGUAAAAAAACCUGGACUCCCACCACUAAAUAGAUAACUUGGAAUUUAUUCAUGCUGAGAAUAAGAAGAUUGUAAGUGACAUCUGCUAGGUGUUCCUUUGUAGCAGUUCCUCCCAGAGCGAUGAUGAAGGCAUUCAGGCAACUUCAGGUAGCCUGACUAACUGAGAAAAGUAAUGGCCGCUCACUCAUUGAGGGUCAGGACAGCAAGAAAGGAGAGGAAGGGGAGAGAAGGGAGAGGAAGAAAUGCCAAAACGAUGCAGCAGAAAUCACACAUUCUGAGGCUGGGGCCUAUUUUGAAAGAUGAUGGUCCAGGAUAAAGUUUAUUUCACUUACAAGCACUAACUCAUUCUUUUCAUCUAGCAUUCCCACCUAUGGAUUAGCAACAGCAUGACCUCUGUAGGGAAGAUUAACUUGCAGCUACACAGGGAUUCAGCAGAAAGCAGACAUGAGGGGAUUGUUUUGACAGUUUUGAAAUCUAUAUUCUUUGUGGGAAAAACACUGUUGAAAUCCUGCUGUAUUAAGCCUUUUUGCAUUACUUUCUCUAAUUACCUAGGGUUGGAUAAAUUUAUCAAGAAAAAAGGCUUAUUUUGUCUCGUGGUUCCAAAGAUCCAAGGCCAAAGGGCCAUAUCCAGUGAUAUCCUUCUUGCAAGCAGAAUUCCAAGGCUGUUCAUGGUAUCAUAUGGCAAGAACAAGGAGUGUACACAUGUGUGUGCCUCUUCUGGUCUCUGCCCCUCUCUUUAUAAAGCCACCAGGAUUCAGUCAUGGGGCCCCCACCCCACUGACCUUAUCUAUCCCUAAUCACCCAGAGGCACCAUGGUGUGUGAUGAAGUCUCGACCCUCUAAAACCUCAAGGUGGCAACUAGAGUUCAACACGUGACCCCUUGGAGACACACGCCAACCAUAUCCAACCACAGCACCUGGAAUAUUAAGAUCUGCGGCUCUGUACAUCUAUCUGUAUCUCCUUUCCCUGAAGCUCUGAAGAGUAGGGCAGAAGACAGUGGUUGUGGGCCACCAGGGUCCCCCCUGUAUCUUUCUUGCCUGUACCGGGUAAGUCUAAGUCUUCCCCCAGGGUUUUAAGUAGCUCCAUACUUAUCUUCUUAAAAGUAAGCAUGAUAAUUAAAACCCAAUACAGACUGUCCAAAUGAAUGAGAAGUUUAUACAAAUGAAUAAUAAAUAAAUCAAACUCCCAACAGAUUAAAAAGAACACAGACAAUUCACAAGAGUAAAUAUUUGUAAAUAAAUACUAUUAGUGAAUAAACAAAAAAUAAAUAAAACUUCACUCUCCCUGGCAUCUAGAAAAAGAGCUUACCUCCUUGAUGUUGUAUCUUGUUCUUACUAAUCAUAGUCAGAUCUGCUCUCAGUCUAUAAGCCCUGCCAUUUCUCCCUCUCCCUUCUCUCUCCUCCUGGCUUUUCAGACCCUUGUUGGGUUCUCAUUUCUGAGUUAACCACACCAGUAUCAGGAAAUUGGUGUUUAUUUCUCCUUCUCCCCAUUCCCCCAUGACCAGAACCUCAGAAUAAACCAGGUCCUUGGGCAUCAAGAACGAGGCUGCAGCCCCCUCCCAUGUACCUCUCACACCCGUCUGUCCUGCCAUUCUGAACACUGAGCUCAGCUGGGAGUCAGCAGCCCUGGGGACCCUUCCCAAACAGCAUCUCCGCCACCUCCCUGGGCUGAGGGUGGGGGAGGCAGGCUUUGGUGACCUGGUGUUCCCAAGGACACCUGGAACUUCCCCUCUCCCAGCAGGGCCACUUGAUUGUGGCACCCUGUGCUACUAGCUCCUGGGGCAGAGCAGUGUUGUCCCCUGCUGUGUUCCAGGCACCUGUCAUCUGGACACAGACACACCAGGUAUCAGUUCUCCACAGACAUCUCUUGUUCCUGCACUCUGGAUUCUCUGAGCAAAGAGAGAUGCAGCUGGGUUAAUAGUGUUCCUGUAAGGGGAAUUUCAGACCAGGGAAGCUAAGAGAGCCUUUGUUGGCAACAGGUCCACCUUGGCCCCUGGAGCCCUACCUCCACUAGUUUGUUCUGCAUGCCAGUGUGGCCAGCUCACAAGGCCAUGGCGAACUUGCGGUUUUUCUGUUCCUGCUUGUCCGUCUGAGACAUAUGUGUCCCACGGGAAUGCCUUGACCUUUUCUGGUCUGAUGGACUUAUUGUUAAGGGAGGUUUCAGUACCUGACAAUAAUAGAUGUUGAAACUAAAUAUCUCCCCCCUCCCUCCUGCUUUUGGGUAGUUUUCCACUUCUGCUGCUUGGGGUAUAAAAAAAGGUGUGUUAGCAAUAAAGAUUAUUAUUGACUCCUGGAUGAAGAA